GUCGCAAGACCAAAGUGGGGGACCUUCGGGCCUCAUGCCAUCAGAUGUGCCCAGAUGGGAUUAGCUAGUAGGUGGGGUAACGGCUCACCUAGGCGACGAUCCCUAGCUGGUCUGAGAGGAUGACCAGCCACACUGGAACUGAGACACGGUCCAGACUCCUACGGGAGGCAGCAGUGGGGAAUAUUGCACAAUGGGCGCAAGCCUGAUGCAGCCAUGCCGCGUGUGUGAAGAAGGCCUUCGGGUUGUAAAGCACUUUCAGCGGGGAGGAAGGCGAUAAGGUUAAUAACCUUGUCGAUUGACGUUACCCGCAGAAGAAGCACCGGCUAACUCCGUGCCAGCAGCCGCGGUAAUACGGAGGGUGCAAGCGUUAAUCGGAAUUACUGGGCGUAAAGCGCACGCAGGCGGUCUGUCAAGUCGGAUGUGAAAUCCCCGGGCUCAACCUGGGAACUGCAUUCGAAACUGGCAGGCUAGAGUCUUGUAGAGGGGGGUAGAAUUCCAGGUGUAGCGGUGAAAUGCGUAGAGAUCUGGAGGAAUACCGGUGGCGAAGGCGGCCCCCUGGACAAAGACUGACGCUCAGGUGCGAAAGCGUGGGGAGCAAACAGGAUUAGAUACCCUGGUAGUCCACGCCGUAAACGAUGUCGAUUUGGAGGUUGUGCCCUUGAGGCGUGGCUUCCGGAGCUAACGCGUUAAAUCGACCGCCUGGGGAGUACGGCCGCAAGGUUAAAACUCAAAUGAAUUGACGGGGGCCCGCACAAGCGGUGGAGCAUGUGGUUUAAUUCGAUGCAACGCGAAGAACCUUACCUGGUCUUGACAUCCACAGAACUUAGCAGAGAUGCUUUGGUGCCUUCGGGAACUGUGAGACAGGUGCUGCAUGGCUGUCGUCAGCUCGUGUUGUGAAAUGUUGGGUUAAGUCCCGCAACGAGCGCAACCCUUAUCCUUUGUUGCCAGCGGUUAGGCCGGGAACUCAAAGGAGACUGCCAGUGAUAAACUGGAGGAAGGUGGGGAUGACGUCAAGUCAUCAUGGCCCUUACGACCAGGGCUACACACGUGCUACAAUGGCAUAUACAAAGAGAAGCGACCUCGCGAGAGCAAGCGGACCUCAUAAAGUAUGUCGUAGUCCGGAUUGGAGUCUGCAACUCGACUCCAUGAAGUCGGAAUCGCUAGUAAUCGUAGAUCAGAAUGCUACGGUGAAUACGUUCCCGGGCCUUGUACACACCGCCCGUCACACCAUGGGAGUGGGUUGCAAAAGAAGUAGGUAGCUUAACCUUCGGGAGGGCGCUUACCACUUUGUGAUUCAUGACUGGGGUGAAGUCGUAACAAGGUAACCGUAGGGGAACCUGCGGUUGGAUCACCUCCUUA
Molecule: ribosomal RNA, 1359 nt
Filed under: Klebsiella pneumoniae
Lineage: Bacteria; Pseudomonadati; Pseudomonadota; Gammaproteobacteria; Enterobacterales; Enterobacteriaceae
Also listed under: 2 other names
Description: bacterial SSU rRNA
Rfam family: Bacterial small subunit ribosomal RNA
Source: RNAcentral